UACGUAGGGCGCGAGCGUUGUCCGGAUUUAUUGGGCGUAAAGAGCUCGUAGGCGGCUUGUUGCGUCGACCGUGAAAACUUGGGGCUCAACCCCAAGCCUGCGGUCGAUACUGGCAGGCUCGAGUUCGGUAGGGGAGACUGGAAUUCCUGGUGUAGCGGUGAAAUGCGCAGAUAUCAGGAGGAACACCGGUGGCGAAGGCGGGUCUCUGGGCCGAUACUGACGCUGAGGAGCGAAAGCGUGGGGAGCGAACAGG
RNAcentral lists this ribosomal RNA (253 nucleotides) under uncultured bacterium. Its description in RNAcentral is "partial 16S ribosomal RNA". It matches the Rfam family "Bacterial small subunit ribosomal RNA", at positions 524 to 776 of the family's 1533-position model. The record is from RNAcentral.